AGGACGAACGCUGGCGGCGUGCUUAACACAUGCAAGUCGAACGGGGUAUCAGGGUAGUAAUACCCGAAGUACCUAGUGGCGAACGGGUGCGUAACACGUGAGCAACCUACCCCAGAGCUUGGAAUAACACCGGGAAACCGGUGCUAAUACCGAAUACUCUCAUUCGGCCGCAUGACUGAAUGAGGAAAGAUUUAUCACUCUGGGACGGGCUCGCGGCCUAUCAGCUUGUUGGUGAGGUAACGGCUCACCAAGGCUACGACGGGUAGCUGGUCUGAGAGGACGAUCAGCCACACUGGGACUGAGACACGGCCCAGACUCCUACGGGAGGCAGC
This 332-nucleotide ribosomal RNA is filed under the name uncultured prokaryote. RNAcentral describes it as "bacterial SSU rRNA". It matches the Rfam family "Bacterial small subunit ribosomal RNA", at positions 26 to 352 of the family's 1533-position model. The record is from RNAcentral.